UAACAACUAAGUCCAAAACUAGUCGGGGCUGUUUUCCCGCGCUAAACGCGUCUUGGCGCGAGGUCGUGCGGCGCUCUAGCGCCAGAUGCCGCCGGGAGCUCACAGGGGUCGGUUGCUCUGCGAACGCAGAGCCUACAGUUUUCAUGACACUUUCCGGUUCAACGCAAUAGUCGGUCGUAUCUGAGAACCUUCUCGCCCACGGUGUCCACCAUGUAGAGCACUUUCUCGCUGGAGCUCCAGUGAGGUCCCUCCCCGCACUUCAACGCAGGGGUGACAACUUCCGUUUUCACAUCUCGAGCAACGGAACCGGCUUUCACUUGAAAAUGGAAAUGAAGAGAUUAAUUAAUCUUCCCACAGAAUGCAUGUGCCCUAGCAAUUAUAUUACAACACAAGAUACCACUUAUAACUUGAUGGUAAUGUUAAAACUUUUAGGUAACUAAAAAGAACCACUUAUGUAAGAUAUUUUAUGUACAUUAUUUGUAAUUAAUGUUAAUUAUUAUAUAUUCCUUUCGUAUUUGAA
Long non-coding RNA from Bacillus rossius redtenbacheri, 520 nucleotides. RefSeq lists it as uncharacterized. The record is from RefSeq and is a predicted model, not a curated record. Lineage: Eukaryota; Metazoa; Arthropoda; Insecta; Phasmatodea; Bacillidae. The transcript has 2 exons.